AAUGUCCUACGGGAGGCAGCAGUGGGGGAUAUUGCACAAUGGGGGCAACCCUGAUGCAGCGACGCCGCGUGAGCGAUGGAGUACUUCGGUAUGUAAAGCUCUGUCAGCAGGGAAGAGAAUGACGGUACCUGACCAAGAAGCCCCGGCUAACUACGUGCCAGCAGCCGCGGUAAUACGUAGGGGGCAAGCGUUAUCCGGAUUUACUGGGUGUAAAGGGAGCGUAGACGGCCAUUCAAGCCAGAUGUGAAAGCCCGGGGCUCAACCCCGGGACUGCCUUUGGCACUGUG
Molecule: ribosomal RNA, 287 nt
Filed under: uncultured bacterium
Lineage: Bacteria
Description: partial 16S ribosomal RNA
Rfam family: Bacterial small subunit ribosomal RNA
Source: RNAcentral